CAGCGCCACGAGUGGUAACCGCGAUUAUUGGGCCUAAAGCGUCCGUAGCAGGUUUAGCAAAUCUUUUGUGAAAUUGUGCGGCUUAACCGUACAACGUGCAAGAGACACUACUGAACGCGAGAUCGGGAGGAGUCAGAAGUAUUCCAGGGGGAGCGGUAAAAUGUUAUAAUCCCUGGAGGACUACCUAUGGCGAAGGCAUCUGACCAGAACGAAUCUGACUGUGAGGGACGAAAGCCAGGGGAGCGAACCGGAUUAGAUACCCGAGUAGUCC
Molecule: ribosomal RNA, 271 nt
Filed under: uncultured archaeon
Lineage: Archaea
Description: partial 16S ribosomal RNA
Rfam family: Archaeal small subunit ribosomal RNA
Source: RNAcentral